GACGAACGCUGGCGGCGUGCUUAACACAUGCGAGUCGAACGGAAAGGCCCUGCUUUUGUGGGGUGCUCGAGUGGCGAACGGGUGAGUAACACGUGAGUAACCUGCCCUUGACUUUGGGAUAACUUCAGGAAACUGGGGCUAAUACCGGAUAGGAGCUCCUGCUGCAUGGUGGGGGUUGGAAAGUUUCGGCGGUUGGGGAUGGACUCGCGGCUUAUCAGCUUGUUGGUGGGGUAGUGGCUUACCAAGGCUUUGACGGGUAGCCGGCCUGAGAGGGUGACCGGCACGCGUGGGAGCGGGUUCGGGCACAGCGCCGGGGGGGGGCGGGUAGGGGAGAAAAGUGAAGACGGGGCGGACGCGGGAUCGAGCAAGUGGGCGGGGGGGAGGCUGGCCGUCGGGUUGUAAUCGCCUGGGGGCGGGGAGGAGGGGGGGGGGAGGGUAGAGGGUAAAGAAGCACGGGAUAACGCCGUGCCAGCAGCGGGGGUAUGAGAGGCAGAACCACCCUUUGAAC
Molecule: ribosomal RNA, 508 nt
Filed under: uncultured bacterium
Lineage: Bacteria
Description: partial 16S ribosomal RNA
Rfam family: Bacterial small subunit ribosomal RNA (bases 20-329)
Source: RNAcentral